CCUACGGGAGGCAGCAGUGAGGAAUAUUGGUCAAUGGACGGAAGUCUGAACCAGCCAUGCCGCGUGCAGGAUGACGGCUCGAUGAGUUGUAAACUGCGGUUGUAGUAGGGUAAACACCCCUACGUGUAGGGGCUUGAAAGUAUAAUACGAAUAAGGAUCGGCUAACUCCGUGCCAGCAGCCGCGGUAAUACGGAGGAUCCAAGCGUUAUCCGGAUUGAUUGGGGUUAAAGGGUGCGUAGGCGGUUUGCUAAGUUAGAGGUGAAAUACCGGUGCUCAACACCGGAACUGCCUCUCAUACUGUUGAACUAGAGCGUAGUUGCGGUAGGCGGAAUGUCUGGUGUAGCGGUGCACUGCUU
This 356-nucleotide ribosomal RNA is filed under the name uncultured bacterium. RNAcentral describes it as "partial 16S ribosomal RNA". It matches the Rfam family "Bacterial small subunit ribosomal RNA", at positions 338 to 691 of the family's 1533-position model. The record is from RNAcentral.